UUUCUUCGGACCUCUCAAUACCCCAUUCGAAGUUGUUGAUGAUGGAAUAGGUGAUCUACAUUGUCGCGACCACCCCAACAUCGCCGGCUUGAUACUUUCGAAAGAAGAGGGGAGGGGAAUCUUUGAUUCCCCGUUUCUUCGAACCCUUCAAUAUUUCUUCGAAAAUGUCAAAUCAAAUCCGACGACCGAACAGAUCCGUGCCACCAUCAACAACUUCGCCGACGACAUCUACAACAUCGCCGGUUUGAUACUUUCGAAAGAAGAUGGGAGGGGAAUCUUUGAUUCCCCGUUUCUUCGGACCUUUCAACAUUUCUUCGAAAAUAUCAAAUCAAGUCCGAUGGCCGAACAGAUUCACGCCACCGUCAUCAACUUCACCGACGACAUCUACAGUAUCGCCGGUUUGAUACUUUCGAAAGAAGAGGGGAGGGAAAUUUUUGAUUCCCCGUUUCUUCGGACCCUUAAAUAUUUCUUCGAAGAUGUCAAAUCAAAUUCGAUGACCAAACAGAUCCACGCCACUGUCAUCAACUUCGUCGACGUCAUCUGCAGCAUCGCAAGAAGAGGGGAGGGGAAUCUUUGAUUCCCCGUUUCUUCGGACCCCAAAUCAAAAUUAAAACGGGGAUUUCUUCGGACCCCAAAUCAGAACCAAACGGAAAUUUCUUCGGACCCCAAAUCAAAAUUAAAACGGGGAUUUCUUUAGACCCCAAAUCAAGAUCAAACGGAGAUUUCUUCGGACCCCAAAUCAAAUUGAAAAAUCAAAUCUAA
Molecule: long non-coding RNA, 762 nt
Filed under: Ananas comosus (pineapple)
Lineage: Eukaryota; Viridiplantae; Streptophyta; Magnoliopsida; Poales; Bromeliaceae
Description: long non-coding RNA (ACOM_LNC026663)
Source: RNAcentral